GAAUGCUGACAUAAGUAACGAUAAAGCGGGUGAAAAGCCCGCUCGCCGGAAGACCAAGGGUUCCUGUCCAACGUUAAUCGGGGCAGGGUGAGUCGACCCCUAAGGCGAGGCCGAAAGGCGUAGUCGAUGGGAAACAGGUUAAUAUUCCUGUACUUGGUGUUACUGCGAAGGGGGGACGGAGAAGGCUAUGUUGGCCGGGCGACGGUUGUCCCGGUUUAAGCGUGUAGGCUGGUUUUCCAGGCAAAUCCGGAAAAUCAAGGCUGAGGCGUGAUGACGAGGCACUACGGUGCUGAAGCGACAAAUGCCCUGCUUCCAGGAAAAGCCUCUAAGCAUCAGGUAACAUCAAAUCGUACCCCAAACCGACACAGGUGGUCAGGUAGAGAAUACCAAGGCGCUUGAGAGAACUCGGGUGAAGGAACUAGGCAAAAUGGUGCCGUAACUUCGGGAGAAGGCACGCUGAUAUGUAGGUGAAGCGACUUGCUCGUGGAGCUGAAAUCAGUCGAAGAUACCAGCUGGCUGCAACUGUUUAUUAAAAACACAGCACUGUGCAAACACGAAAGUGGACGUAUACGGUGUGACGCCUGCCCGGUGCCGGAAGGUUAAUUGAUGGGGUUAGCGGUAACGCGAAGCUCUUGAUCGAAGCCCCGGUAAACGGCGGCCGUAACUAUAACGGUCCUAAGGUAGCGAAAUUCCUUGUCGGGUAAGUUCCGACCUGCACGAAUGGCGUAAUGAUGGCCAGGCUGUCUCCACCCGAGACUCAGUGAAAUUGAACUCGCUGUGAAGAUGCAGUGUACCCGCGGCAAGACGGAAAGACCCCGUGAACCUUUACUAUAGCUUGACACUGAACAUUGAGCCUUGAUGUGUAGGAUAGGUGGGAGGCUUUGAAGUGUGGACGCCAGUCUGCAUGGAGCCGACCUUGAAAUACCACCCUUUAAUGUUUGAUGUUCUAACGUGGGCCCCUUACCGGGGUUGCGGACAGUGUCUGGUGGGUAGUUUGACUGGGGCGGUCUCCUCCUAAAGAGUAACGGAGGAGCACGAAGGUUGGCUAAUCCUGGUCGGACAUCAGGAGGUUAGUGCAAUGGCAUAAGCCAGCUUGACUGCGAGCGUGACGGCGCGAGCAGGUGCGAAAGCAGGUCAUAGUGAUCCGGUGGUUCUGAAUGGAAGGGCCAUCGCUCAACGGAUAAAAGGUACUCCGGGGAUAACAGGCUGAUACCGCCCAAGAGUUCAUAUCGACGGCGGUGUUUGGCACCUCGAUGUCGGCUCAUCACAUCCUGGGGCUGAAGUAGGUCCCAAGGGUAUGGCUGUUCGCCAUUUAAAGUGGUACGCGAGCUGGGUUUAGAACGUCGUGAGACAGUUCGGUCCCUAUCUGCCGUGGGCGCUGGAGAACUGAGGGGGGCUGCUCCUAGUACGAGAGGACCGGAGUGGACGCAUCACUGGUGUUCGGGUUGUCAUGCCAAUGGCACUGCCCGGUAGCUAAAUGCGGAAGAGAUAAGUGCUGAAAGCAUCUAAGCACGAAACUUGCCCCGAGAUGAGUUCUCCCUGACUCCUUGAGAGUCCUGAAGGAACGUUGAAGACGACGACGUUGAUAGGCCGGGUGUGUAAGCGC
Molecule: ribosomal RNA, 1606 nt
Filed under: Escherichia coli
Lineage: Bacteria; Pseudomonadati; Pseudomonadota; Gammaproteobacteria; Enterobacterales; Enterobacteriaceae
Description: partial 23S ribosomal RNA
Rfam family: Bacterial large subunit ribosomal RNA
Source: RNAcentral